AUACGGAGGGUGCGAGCGUUAAUGGGAAUUACUGGGCGUAAAGCGUACGUAGGCGGUUGGUUAAGUUAGAUGUGAAAGCCCCGGGCUUAACCUGGGAACUGCAUUUAAAACUGGCGAACUAGAGUUGAGUAGAGGGGAGUGGAAUUUCAGGUGUAGCGGUGAAAUGCGUAGAGAUCUGAAGGAACACCAGUGGCGAAGGCGACUCCCUGGACUCGAACUGACGCUGAGGUACGAAAGCGUGGGUAGCAAACGGGAUUAGAAACCCUAGUAGUCC
This 274-nucleotide ribosomal RNA is filed under the name uncultured bacterium. Its description in RNAcentral is "partial 16S ribosomal RNA". It matches the Rfam family "Bacterial small subunit ribosomal RNA", at positions 523 to 796 of the family's 1533-position model. The record is from RNAcentral.